Molecule: ribosomal RNA, 279 nt
Filed under: uncultured bacterium
Lineage: Bacteria
Description: partial 16S ribosomal RNA
Rfam family: Bacterial small subunit ribosomal RNA
Source: RNAcentral
UGCCAGCAGCCGCGGUAAUACGAAGGUCCCAAGCGUUGUUCGGAAUCACUGGGCGUAAAGCGUAUGUAGGCGGAUCAGAAAGUUAGAUGUGAAAUCCCUGGGCUCAACCCAGGAACUGCAUUUAAAACUAGUGAUCUAGAAUUUGGUAGGGGUUAGUAGAAUUUCCAGUGUAGAGGUGAAAUUCGUAGAUAUUGGAAAGAAUACCAGUGGCGAAGGCGACUAACUGGGCCAUUUUUGACGCAGAGAUACGAAAGCGUGGAUAGCUAACAGGAUUAGAUA